UCUCCCAGUCGCUGUUCCCACCCCGCGCCGCCGGCGCCCGCCACCCCCACCGCCGCCAGCUCGUCGUCCCGUCGCCGCGGCACUCGCGCCAGGAGGAGUAGGAAGCGGGGGUGGGGGGCGCGACGCGGGCGGCCGCCCUCUCGUUGUCCCAUCGCCGCUCGCCGUCCGCGCCGACCCACGGACGCCUCCCUACCACCGCCGACGUCGCCGCCGGGGACAUCAUCGUCGUGCCGCUGCCCGCUGCCGAGUACCCCUGUACCCCUGCAUUGCAGAGGUCUCAAGCAUCUCUUGUGCGGCAGCAGGAUUCAGAAGGAGGUAGAGGCCAAAAUCUGAUAUCCCAGGCUGGAAAUCGGCGUCAAGCAUAAUGUUGUUUGUUUUGAGAUUGCCGUGAAUAAUUGGGUUCUGCGAAGCUGUGUGAAGGUGGUCCAGUCCUUCGACAAUGCUGAAAUCCAAAGAGCAAAGAGCUCUUUAACUUACAACUUAGCUGCGAACAGGAAAUGUAAUUAUGAUUUUAGACAAGUGUUGGAGUCAGAACACUUCAUGUUAUUGAAUAUGCUUUUCAAUUUCUGAUGCAUCAUGUAAUUAUGUAAUGCAGGACCUGAUGGCAUGUUUGAGAAGAAGGACCACCAUUAAGCAUGAAUAGCAACACACCAUCAGGAGUCAUGCAUGUCUAAAAGAUUCCUGUUCCAUUGUUUUUCUUUUCCAUCGAAACCUAUUUGCCGCAACAAGAAAUAAGAAUGACAACUCUUAUGUUGACAGUCAGGUCUUAACUGUGUCAUUAGCUGAGCAAUUCCUGUCUUUGUUUUCUUUGCUGUCCCGUCCGCAUCAAAGAUCACAUGAAAGUUUGUCUUGCCCAGUUUCAGGAAAUCGUGUCACUGUUAUCAAAAAGCUUGCUAUUAUAUUCUGAUUGCUUCAGAUUGUGGCUUGUGCUAUUAUAUACAAGUUUCUUAUUGACCCUACUGCAGUUGAUAUGUAUUUAUUUUCUUACAAAAGUUUUCUGAUUCUUGCAUUAUGUUCCACUAUUAUAUAAAAUUUCUUGCUGACUUAUGUCUGGUUUUAUAAAAUUUCUGUAGCUGUUAUUUCUGUAGCUUGUCAGCAUGUAUGGUUUUGGAAUUUUGGUCUUAAAGUGUUACUGUUCUGUUUCAGGCACAUCUGCAAGUGUUUGUGCAUUUGAUCCUGACUGUAACAUGGUGCUUUAUAACCUGUGGAACAAGGGCAAGCAAAAGGAUCUGACUGUGAACAAGGCAUGAAUUGUGAACUUGUGAUGGACAAGAAGGAUCUUCAGCUCCUUUGUUUAUUAGUCACUUGUUUAUUAGUCACUCAAUGUUCUUUUCUGACGCAUGAUGUAUGAAAUAUUCAAGCCACAGUGUUGCACACUACUCAAAUUAAUAAAGUGCUUGCCCUUGUGAGGCCUGUAAAAAGCUGUUACAA
Panicum virgatum (switchgrass) is the source of this 1431-nucleotide long non-coding RNA. RefSeq lists it as uncharacterized. The record is from RefSeq and is a predicted model, not a curated record. The transcript is spliced from 2 exons. Lineage: Eukaryota; Viridiplantae; Streptophyta; Magnoliopsida; Poales; Poaceae.